UAACGUUGAUUAUCUAUACGUUGAUAUAUUAAAAUUGGAAUGAAACAAAGGAGUUUAUCAUGGCCCGUACUUAAGAAUUACAUGAAACAUCCUGAAACCUUCCACUUCUUU
Molecule: non-coding RNA, 111 nt
Organism: Bombyx mori (domestic silkworm)
Lineage: Eukaryota; Metazoa; Arthropoda; Insecta; Lepidoptera; Bombycidae
Source: Rfam